GACGAACGCUGGCGGCGUGCUUAACACAUGCAAGUCGAACGAGAAUACUUAGACAGAAGCCUUCGGGUGGAAGACUUUGUAUUCGAGUGGCGGACGGGUGAGUAACGCGUGAGUAACCUGCCUUGAAGAGGGGAAUAACAGCGAGAAAUCGUUGCUAAUACCGCAUAAGACUACAGGAUCGCAUGAUCUAGGAGUCAAAGAUUUAUCGCUUCAAGAUGGACUCGCGUCCCAUUAGCUAGUUGGUAGGGUAAUGGCCUACCAAGGCGACGAUGGGUAGCCGGACUGAGAGGUCGAUCGGCCACACUGGGACUGAGACACGGCCCAGACUCCUACGGGAGGCAGCAGUGGGGAAUAUUGGGCAAUGGGCGCAAGCCUGACCCAGCAACGCCGCGUGAAGGAAGAAUGUUUUCGGACUGUAAACUUCUGUCCUCAGGGAUAGAAAAAAUGACAGUACCUGAGGAGGAAGCCCCGGCUAACUACGUGCCAGCCGCCGCCGCCGUAAG
RNAcentral lists this ribosomal RNA (503 nucleotides) under uncultured Eubacteriales bacterium. Its description in RNAcentral is "bacterial SSU rRNA". It matches the Rfam family "Bacterial small subunit ribosomal RNA", at positions 28 to 531 of the family's 1533-position model. The record is from RNAcentral. Lineage: Bacteria; Bacillati; Bacillota; Clostridia; Eubacteriales.